This 574-nucleotide ribosomal RNA is filed under the name uncultured bacterium. RNAcentral's name for it is "bacterial SSU rRNA". It matches the Rfam family "Bacterial small subunit ribosomal RNA", at positions 30 to 572 of the family's 1533-position model. The record is from RNAcentral.
CGAACGCUGGCGGCGUGCCUAACACAUGCAAGUCGAACGGAGAUUCAGAAGAAGCCUAGCGAUUCUGAGUCUUAGUGGCGGACGGGUGAGUAACGCGUGGGUAAUCUGCCCUUGAGCGGGGGAUAACAGUCGGAAACGACUGCUAAUACCGCAUACACUACCGGAGACACAUGUACUCGGUAGCAAAGGUGGCCUCUUAACAAUGCUACCGCUUAAGGAUGAGCCCGCGUCUGAUUAGCUAGUAGGUGGGGUAAAGGCCUACCUAGGCGACGAUCAGUAGCCGGCCUGAGAGGGUGUACGGCCACACUGGAACUGAGACACGGUCCAGACUCCUACGGGAGGCAGCAGUGGGGAAUAUUGCGCAAUGGGGGAAACCCUGACGCAGCGACGCCGCGUGAGCGAAGAAGGCCUUCGGGUUGUAAAGCUCUGUUCUAAGGGACGAAGGACUUGGCUGUGAAUAAUGGUCAAGGGUGACGGUACCUUAGGAGAAAGCCCCGGCUAACUACGUGCCAGCAGCCGCGGUAAUACGUAGGGGGCGAGCGUUGUCCGGAAUUACUGGGCGUAAAGAGCGUGU